GGACAAAGACUGACGCUCAGGUGCGAAAGCGUGGGAGCAAACAGGAUUAGAUACCCUGGUAGUCCACGCCGUAAACGAUGUCGACUUGGAGGUUGUGCCCUUGAGGCGUGGCUUCCGGAGCUAACGCGUUAAGUCGACCGCCUGGGGAGUACGGCCGCAAGGUUAAAACUCAAAUGAAUUGACGGGGGCCCGCACAAGCGGUGGAGCAUGUGGUUUAAUUCGAUGCAACGCGAAGAACCUUACCUACUCUUGACAUCCAGAGAACUUAGCAGAGAUGGUUUGGUGCCUUCGGGAACUCUGAGACAGGUGCUGCAUGGCUGUCGUCAGCUCGUGUUGUGAAAUGUUGGGUUAAGUCCCGCAACGAGCGCAACCCUUAUCCUUUGUUGCCAGCGGUUCGGCCGGGAACUCAAAGGAGACUGCCAGUGAUAAACUGGAGGAAGGUGGGGAUGACGUCAAGUCAUCAUGGCCCUUACGAGUAGGGCUACACACGUGCUACAAUGGCGCAUACAAAGAGAAGCGACCUCGCGAGAGCAAGCGGACCUCAUAAAGUGCGUCGUAGUCCGGAUUGGAGUCUGCAACUCGACUCCAUGAAGUCGGAAUCGCUAGUAAUCGUAGAUCAGAAUGCUACGGUGAAUACGUUCCCGGGCCUUGUACACACCGCCCGUCACACCAUGGGAGUGGGUUGCAAAAGAAGUAGGUAGCUUAACCUUCGGGAGGGCGCUUACCACUUUGUGAUUCAU
This 740-nucleotide ribosomal RNA is filed under the name Enterobacter sp. CLHA-3. RNAcentral describes it as "bacterial SSU rRNA". It matches the Rfam family "Bacterial small subunit ribosomal RNA", at positions 731 to 1472 of the family's 1533-position model. The record is from RNAcentral. Lineage: Bacteria; Pseudomonadati; Pseudomonadota; Gammaproteobacteria; Enterobacterales; Enterobacteriaceae.